AAAAACUCAGGGGAGAGAUUUAAAAGGAGAAGGUGGCCAAAUGGUAGGAUCGUAAAAACAGUCUAUUCGCUGUGUUUCGGUGUUUCCUGAAAACCUCUCUUUCUUCUCCUCUUGUUGACAAGUCUUCAUCAUAUUAUUUUUUGAUCCAAAAAGGCAAAAAAGGAGGCACAGCAAGAGAGAGCGAUAAGAGGAAUCAGAGUUCCUGAACAGGAACAACGAUUCCUCAAAACACACGUCUUCUUCGUUUCUCAGGUUGGUUUCUCUUUUCAUUGCCCUUUCAUUCAUUGCAAUGCCAAUGCAUGCCCUUGCAUGCAAAAAAUAAAACUUUCUAUCAAAUUAUUUAUUCCUUGUUUUGUGGGUGGAACAAUUAUGGGGUUCCAAAUAAGAUGUUAAAUUUGUAUUGCAUCUUUUUCGUAUUGCAACUACUUUAUUUGUGCUCUCGAUUGAGACUUUUUAAUUUCUGCUCAUUUCCUAAUUAAUGUACAUUUUCUUCUCCCGUAAUAGUUACUACCUUAUUUGAUAGGGACGUGACGCCAUUCUUUUCUUUCUGAUUGGUCAUGAGAUAUUUCGUGAUACGGGUGUUCUCUCGGUUUAAGCUCUUAGCCAAUUAUGAAUAGUGGAUCUUUUCUUUUGAUGAAAAUCUCCCCAUUUUCUUGUUCUUUUAGGAGGGUUCUUUUGCUUUUCUUCGUUAGAAUUAGGCUUUAACUUAAUGGUCCUGUUGCUCGAGAUACAUGUUUCUGUCAUUAAAAAAUUUUGAUGUUGUUUAUUUUUAAUUUCAGGAUUUCUUCAGGGUGGAGUUUGAUUAAAUGUGCAGACUGAUGAUAUUUCAACACAACAACUCGUCUUAGAGCUAGAAAUUUCUUUCCUUUUUUCGGCUAAGACGGGAGGCGAAAGCAUCCAUGAGGCGAUAGCCAGUUGCUAGCUCUGUUAUGCAUUUGAUUUAGAAGGUAAUGUACUUGAUGCGAAAAUGAAUUUCAAUUACAGAUCUUUAGAUUAUUCAAAACUUAACAUUGUACAUAUGUCUCAUUUUUUUUUUAUGUAUUUUUCUUUCUUCUUGGGACCAAUGGCAUGGCAGGUUCGUCAUCUCUCC
Molecule: long non-coding RNA, 1090 nt
Filed under: Citrus maxima (pomelo)
Lineage: Eukaryota; Viridiplantae; Streptophyta; Magnoliopsida; Sapindales; Rutaceae
Description: long non-coding RNA (CMAX_LNC003242)
Source: RNAcentral